This 280-nucleotide unclassified non-coding RNA is filed under the name Hevea brasiliensis (rubber tree). Lineage: Eukaryota; Viridiplantae; Streptophyta; Magnoliopsida; Malpighiales; Euphorbiaceae. The record is from RNAcentral.
GUAGUUAAAUCUUUGAGUUGUCCUAACUCUUUUGGAAUUAACCCACUGAGAAUUGUUACUCACGUCUAAAUUUUGAAGGCUACUCAUGUUCCCAAUUUCAGGAGGGAUGGCACCACGAAAAUGAUUGUGUUGCAUGUAUAGCUUAGUAAGAUUGGUUAAAAGACCAAGAGUAAGUGGAAAUGGGCCAACAAGCAUGUUACUAGACAAAUCAAGAGUAAUCAAAUCUUUGAGUUGCCCUAACUCAUUUGGAAUUAACCCAUUGAGAAUAUUGCCACCCACG